GCCCUGCUGGCUCAAUGGUAGAGCGUCAGACUUCUAUUCACUGUGUAAUUAUUCAGUCCUAGACAUCUGAAGGCUGCGGGUUCGAGUCCCGCGUGGGGUG
This 100-nucleotide transfer RNA is filed under the name Hypoxylon rubiginosum. Its description in RNAcentral is "tRNA-Arg". It matches the Rfam family "tRNA". Rfam says of the family: Transfer RNA (tRNA) molecules are approximately 80 nucleotides in length. The record is from RNAcentral. Lineage: Eukaryota; Fungi; Ascomycota; Sordariomycetes; Xylariales; Hypoxylaceae.